RNAcentral lists this ribosomal RNA (198 nucleotides) under uncultured bacterium. RNAcentral's name for it is "partial 16S ribosomal RNA". It matches the Rfam family "Bacterial small subunit ribosomal RNA", at positions 328 to 539 of the family's 1533-position model. The record is from RNAcentral.
ACGCUCGACACCUACGGGAGGCAGCAGUGGGGAAUAUUGCACAAUGGGGGAAACCCUGAUGCAGCAACGCCGCGUGAGUGAAGAAGUAUUUCGGUAUGUAAAGCUCUAUCAGCAGGGAAGAUAAUGACGGUACCUGACUAAGAAGCUCCGGCUAAAUACGUGCCCGCAGCCGCGGUAAUCUGAGCGGGCUGGCAAGGC